CAGAAGGAGUUUCUUUGCUGCUUCCCUUUUCAGAAACUUGGAGACCAUAUAUCUUUGCAAAGUGGAUUUUUAAAAAUAAAACAAAGAAGAAAAGAUUAAACCAGAGAAGCUCCCAAGUUUUCUGCCUUCUGCCUGGACCAGCUUCCUGUGCUUCUUCCUUUCCAAAAUUGAUGUGGUAAAUGUUAUUGCAGUAGUACUGGCUCAGAAAAGCCCAGGCCUUCCAAGAAUGCAACCUUCAUGGAGAAAUUCUGCGACUCUUUCUCCUCUGGGGAGGCUGGAGAGUUCACCAUACUGAAUAUUCACACCUUGCACCAUGAACCCAGGUAAGGCACCUAUGUAUGAUCAUCCAAGCCAGGACCAGGGUGAGAUUAUGAUCAACUCACUCUCUCUGGAUAAGUCCUUCCUCAGCCUCCCUCGCAUCAAUUCAGCAUCAGCAAGGUGCAGAACUCGUCUGCUGCCUAGAGAUUGCCUCAGAGGUCUUGCAAGGGGUGAGCAUCUGGGCAGAGAUGGCCCCUCUUACUCAGUUAAUGGAGGAAGGGUUGACUCGGAAUAUCUGCUCAUUGAUAUAUUUUAUCCCAGAACAAGUAACACCCCAAAGCAUUUUAGUUCUUCCUGUGUGCCAGGCACUGGGAUCAGAACUUUACCCGAAUUACUUCACUUAAUCCUCACCACAGUCCUGGGAGGCAGAUAUUACUAUUUGCAUUUUACAGAUGAAAGUGAGGGAGGUUAAUUAUUGAUCAAGGUCCUAUAACUAACAUAUAAGUGGUGGAGCCAGCCUUGAACCCUGCCUGUCUAACCCCAGUGCCCAUGAUCUCAGUGAGCACAAUAUUGCUCACAGCAGAGGCAGUGGUGGGCUCUGAGACUAAGAGGAACACAGAGUGGGAGGCAGCCUGGGGACAACCCAUCCCACCAUGUGGAAUCAACUUCCUCCCCCAAAUGGGGAAGAAGUUGCACUCAGGGUAUGAGUCUUGCUGCUCACAGGGGCAGUCACAGCUUUGAGGAAAAGGGGUAGAAAGAAGUGGGGAGCUGGUGGGAACGGGGCAGAGGCAUCUGCUGGAGAACACUCAAUGUCAUCCUGAAUUAGAUCAUAAAAAGUAAGUGCUUUUUAAAAGCAAUUUUACUCAGCAGGGGAUGUGCUGUCAAGCUGCCUGGUGAUUCAGAGGCUCUCUGCCUCCCAUCCCCUUCUUUGGAGGUGGGGGUGAGGAUAUGGCUGUGGGGAACAAUGGCUCAGCUUCUCUGUUGUCUGCUAGAGGUUGACGUGACCCAGCUAUGGCUGAAUCCCAACCUGGCUGUCCUUAGCUCUUCCUGCACCCCCUUAGAGUCAGACAGAGCUGGUCUCCAAUCCCAGCAGGACUAUCCACCCAGAAGAGCUGUGUGACCUAACAGGAGUUGCUAAACCUCUUUUAGCCUUAGUUCUACCCUCCCUGAACAUAGGAAUAAUACCAGAACCUUGGCAUUGGGUUCUUGUGAGCAUUAAAUAAAAUAAAAUCUGCACAGUCUGGCAAAUAAUAAGCCCUCAAAAUUAGGACCUCUUUUUAUUAUUUAUUCUUGUUUUUAUUAUUAACACCUGCCUGAGAGAUUAAGAGUAGAGGGUUCAAAGUAAAAGGAAAGAAAGUCAUGCCUCCUUGCAGAAAGUAACAGAGAUUGCUACUGCUCGCUAAUGUUGAGUUCCUCCUCUUCUUCUUGGACCUCCCUUGCUAUGUGAUGAUCCUGACCAACGGGAUGUAUGCAGGAGAAAUGUCCACCCAUGGAAACCGCCUACACACGGCCCUCCACCUUAUCUUUCUGUCUUGUGAUGACCUUGUUGGAGAUGGCAGCACCAAAGAUGGUUAGAGCCUGGAUGCCUGCAUGACUGCACGGAGCAGAGCCCUCUCACUCCACCACUGGUGCCCCCUAAUGGACUGCUAGGUGAGUGCAAGACAACCUUGUGUCAAGUCACUAAGAAUUUGAGGGUGUUUUUCAUAACACUUAGCCCUUCUUGACUUUAACAGUCAGCCAGACCACCACAGGGAUUUUGUAACUUUCUGUGGCUUUAGAUUGUUUGAAAGUUUCAUGAAAUGAGAGAAUGACAGGAGACAGUCUCUAAAGCCCUUCUCAGCUCAGACAUUCAAGGUGGCUCACUGCUUGCUAAUAUGUAGUUAAGAAAUGCCCCGUACCCUCCUGGGAACCUGUGAGCCAGCAAUCCUAGAGAAGCCUUCAGAGGGGCCUGAGAAUACCACCUAGUCUCUCUCAUCCUCUGGGCUUCCUCCCCUGGGCCAGCCCAGCAGCAACUCUCCAGUUUCCCACCAGGUCAACAUUUAGGAGACAGAGAGUGUGAGAGAGUCACUAAAGCUCCAGAUCACGUGACUGAGCCAGAGUGACUGAGUAUGUGUGUGCCAGUGUGCAGGGAGGGGCCAGUGUGUAGGGAGGGGCUGCAGCUAAGUUGCUUUGCAGAUAUUUAUUUGUAGAUUUCUUUUUCUUAAACAGUUGUGGAGAGGUGUAGUUGUGGAGAGCUGAAGCUAAUCUCCAUAUUUCUGGGUGCUGGCAGACACUAUGUCAGUCAGAAACACCUGCAGUGAUGGCUGGCUUCUCUGUCCCCCUGCUCUCUCUCUCCCUGCAGACCUCUUUCCUUUUAUCCUGAGGCAUCUUCACAAGUGCUGACCCAGGGAAUGUGCUUGCCAUGAGCCAUUGGAUUCUGUCAGAGAUGGAAGGGACCUACCCAGGGGAUCGUCUUUCUGGAGAUGCAGAAAAGGAGAAAGGGAGAAGGGAGAAAGUGAAGUGGGGGAGGGAAGAAAGGUAGGGAAAGGGAGGCAGGCAGGAGGCAGGGAGGAGAGGAGGGACGUUCAUGUGAACUGGGUCCCUGCAGGGUACAUUAGCAGAUCCCAUUAACUACAGCCAAACAGAACUGGGUCCAACUCCUCCUUAAGCCAACUACUGAGUGAUGUCAGAAAAAUUUCAAAACUUUAGUUACACAUCUUAUAAUGGAGAUUGCCCAGGGAUGGUGGCUCCCACCUGGCUUACUCCUGUAAUCCCAGGAGGCUAAGGCAAGAGAAUUGCUUGAUGAGAGUUCAAGACCAGCUUGGGCAACAAAGCAAGACCUCCCCCCUACAAAAAAUGAUAAUAAUAAAUGGGGAUUAUACUAGCUACCUCUUAGUGAUGUGAGGAUUAAAUGAGAUAAUGUACGUAAAGCCCAUGUUGGCCGAUAGAGGUGCUUAACGAAGAGCAGUUACAGUUGUCCCUUGGGAUCCAUAGAGGAUUGGUUCUAGGACACUUUAUGGACACGAAAAUCUGCAGAUGAGCAAGGCCCUUAUAUAGAAUGGCAUAGGAUUCACUUAUAACCUAUGCAUAUCCUCCUGUAUUGCUUAACAAUGGGGAUAUAUUUUGAGAACUGUGAUGUUAGGUGAUUUUGUCAUUGUGCAAACAUUAUAGAGCAAGGGUCCCCAACCCCUGGGCCACAGACCAGUACCAGUGUGUGGCCUGUUAGCAACCAGGGCUCACAGCAGGAAGAGAGCAGCAGACAAGCCAGGGAAGCUUCAUCUGUAUUUACAGCCACUCUCCACCAUUUGCAUUACUGCCUGAGCUCUGCCUCCUGUCAGAUCAGCAGUGGCAUCAAAUCCUCAUGGGAGCACAAACCCUAUUGUGGACUACACAUGCCAGGGAUCUAGGUUGCACCUUCCUUAUGAGAAUCUAAUGCCUGAUGAUCUGUCACUGUCUCCCAUUACCCCUAGAUGGGAAUGUUUAGUUGCAGGAAAACAAACUCAGGGCUCCCACAGAUUCUACUUUAUGGUGAGUUGUAGAAUUAUUUCAUUAUAUAUUAAUAUUACAAUGUAAUAAUAAUAGAAAUAAAGUGCACAAUAAAUGUAAUGUGCUUGAAUCAUCCUGAAACCAUCCCCUCCCCCAACCUUAUUCGUGGAAAAAUUAUCUUCCAUGAAACUGGUCCCUGGUGCCAAAAAGGUUGGGGACCACUGUUGUAGAGUGUACUUACUCAAACCUAGAUGACACAUAACCUACUACACACCUAGGCUAUAUGGUAUAGCCUAUUGCUCCUAGGCUACAAAUCUUUACAGCGUAAUACUGUAAGCAACUGUAAUACAAUGGUAAGUAUUUCUGCAUCCAAACAUAGAAAAGGUAAAGAAAAAAUAUGAUAAUAUAACUUUGGCCAGGCACGAUGGCUCAUACCCAUAAUCCUGGCACUUUGGGAGGCCAAGGUGGGCAGAACCCUUGUGCCCAGGAAUUCAAGACCAGCCUGGUCAGCAUGGCAAAAUGCCGUCUCUGCAAAAAACACAAAAAUUAACUGGGCAUGGUGACACACGUCUGUAGUCCCAGCUGAGGCAGGACGAUCACCUGAACCUUGGAGGUCGAGGCUCCAGUGAGCUGUGGUUGCACCACUGCACUCCAGCCUGGGUGACAAAGUGAAACCUUGUCUCAAAUAAUAAUGAUCAUCAUCAAAAUCACCAUCAUCAUCAUCAUCAUCAUCAUCAUCAUCAUCUUAUGGGACCACUGUUAUGGAUGAGGUUCAUAAUUGACUGAAACAUCACUGUACGGCACAUGACUGUACUUUAAAUCAUCUCUGGAU
Molecule: long non-coding RNA, 4555 nt
Organism: Macaca mulatta (Rhesus monkey)
Lineage: Eukaryota; Metazoa; Chordata; Mammalia; Primates; Cercopithecidae
Source: Ensembl